AUGGGAACGCGAAGAACCUUACCUACUCUUGACAUCCAGAGAACUUUCCAGAGAUGGAUUGGUGCCUUCGGGAACUCUGAGACAGGUGCUGCAUGGCUGUCGUCAGCUCGUGUUGUGAAAUGUUGGGUUAAAGUCCCGCAACGAGCGCAACCCUUAUCCUUUGUUGCCAGCGGUCCGGCCGGGAACUCAAAGGAGACUGCCAGUGAUAAACUGGAGGAAGGUGGGGGAUGACGUCAAGUCAUCAUGGCCCUUACGACCAGGGCUACACACGUGCUACAAUGGCAUAUACAAAGAGAAGCGACCUCGCGAGAGCAAGCGGACCUCAUAAAGUGCGUCGUAGUCCGGAUUGGAGUCUGCAACUCGACUCCAUGAAGUCGGAAUCGCUAGUAAUCGUAGAUCAGAAUGCUACGGUGAAUACGUUCCCGGGUCUUG
This 432-nucleotide ribosomal RNA is filed under the name uncultured bacterium. Its description in RNAcentral is "bacterial SSU rRNA". It matches the Rfam family "Bacterial small subunit ribosomal RNA", at positions 954 to 1383 of the family's 1533-position model. The record is from RNAcentral.